GAUGAACGCUGGCGGCGUGCCUAAUACAUGCAAGUCGAGCGAACAGACGAGGAGCUUGCUCCUCUGACGUUAGCGGCGGACGGGUGAGUAACACGUGGAUAACCUACCUAUAAGACUGGGAUAACCUCGGGAAACCGGAGCUAAUAUCGGAUAAUAUAUUGAACCGCAUGGUUCAAUAGUGAAAGACGGUUUUGCUGUCACUUAUAGAUGGAUCCGCGCCGCAUUAGCUAGUUGGUAAGGUAACGGCUUACCAAGGCAACGAUGCGUAGCCGACCUGAGAGGGUGAUCGGCCACACUGGAACUGAGACACGGUCCAGACUCCUACGGGAGGCAGCAGUAGGGAAUCUUCCGCAAUGGGCGAAAGCCUGACGGAGCAACGCCGCGUGAGUGAUGAAGGUCUUCGGAUCGUAAAACUCUGUUAUUAGGGAAGAACAAAUGUGUAAGUAACUAUGCACGUCUUGACGGUACCUAAUCAGAAAGCCACGGCUAACUACGUG
RNAcentral lists this ribosomal RNA (497 nucleotides) under uncultured bacterium. RNAcentral describes it as "partial 16S ribosomal RNA". It matches the Rfam family "Bacterial small subunit ribosomal RNA", at positions 28 to 507 of the family's 1533-position model. The record is from RNAcentral.